UACCAGGCGUCACUAGACGCCACAUUUUUUGUUAAUUAUGUUAAAU
Molecule: non-coding RNA, 46 nt
Organism: Cryptosporidium ubiquitum
Lineage: Eukaryota; Apicomplexa; Conoidasida; Eucoccidiorida; Cryptosporidiidae
Source: Rfam